Non-coding RNA from Pseudopodoces humilis (Tibetan ground-tit), 349 nucleotides. The record is from RefSeq and is a predicted model, not a curated record. Lineage: Eukaryota; Metazoa; Chordata; Aves; Passeriformes; Paridae.
AGGAACCAGGUUUAGAGCAGACUCAUCGCAGCUCUCGCUCCCGCCCAGCCGACCAUGGAUUGCAAAGCCAUCGGUAUUGCAUUUGCUGUUGGAAUUGUCAUUGGAGCUGCAAUUGUAGCAGCAGUAGGUGGUAUGCCGGUGUCCCUCUCUGCAGUGGGGAUUAGCAAGACCAAGGGUCUUGCCAUCACUUUCACGGCUGGUGCAAAAAAAUUGGCCUGACUCUGCCCUGCAAGCUGCAGCCAAUUGCAUAAAAACUCUCAGUGAUCCAUGCCAGGGAAUAAAAGCAAGAUUUCUGCCUUCCAAGCAGCCUGAUUUGUCUUUAAAAGGCAGGUGCUAAAAAGUCCCAUGA